GAUGAACGCUGGCGGCGUGCCUAAUACAUGCAAGUCGAGCGAACAGACGAGGAGCUUACUCCUCUGACGUUAGCGGCGGACGGGUGAGUAACACGUGGAUAACCUACCUAUAAGACUGGGAUAACUUCGGGAAAACGGAGCUAAUACCGGAUAACAUGUUGAACCGCAUGGUUCAACAGUGCAAGACGGUCUUGCCGUCACUUAUAGCUGGAUCCGCGUCGCAUUAGCUAGUUGGUAAGGUAACGGCUUACCAAGGCGACGAUGCGUAGCCGACCUGAGAGGGUGAUCGGCCACACUGGAACUGAGACACGGUCCAGACUCCUACGGGAGGCAGCAGUAGGGAAUCUUCCGCAAUGGGCGAAAGCCUGACGGAGCAACGCCGCGUGAGUGAAGAAGGUCUUCGGAUCGUAAAACUCUGUUAUUAGGGAAGAACAAAUGUGUAAGUAACUAUGCACGUCUUGACGGUACCUAAUCAGAAAGCCACGGCUAACUACGUG
RNAcentral lists this ribosomal RNA (497 nucleotides) under uncultured bacterium. Its description in RNAcentral is "partial 16S ribosomal RNA". It matches the Rfam family "Bacterial small subunit ribosomal RNA", at positions 28 to 507 of the family's 1533-position model. The record is from RNAcentral.